Molecule: ribosomal RNA, 589 nt
Filed under: Saccharomyces cerevisiae (brewer's yeast)
Lineage: Eukaryota; Fungi; Ascomycota; Saccharomycetes; Saccharomycetales; Saccharomycetaceae
Description: partial large subunit ribosomal RNA
Rfam family: Eukaryotic large subunit ribosomal RNA
Source: RNAcentral
ACGGGGGAAUGCCUUAGUACGGCGAGUGAAGCGGCAAAAGCUCAAAUUUGAAAUCUGGUACCUUCGGUGCCCGAGUUGUAAUUUGGAGAGGGCAACUUUGGGGCCGUUCCUUGUCUAUGUUCCUUGGAACAGGACGUCAUAGAGGGUGAGAAUCCCGUGUGGCGAGGAGUGCGGUUCUUUGUAAAGUGCCUUCGAAGAGUCGAGUUGUUUGGGAAUGCAGCUCUAAGUGGGUGGUAAAUUCCAUCUAAAGCUAAAUAUUGGCGAGAGACCGAUAGCGAACAAGUACAGUGAUGGAAAGAUGAAAAGAACUUUGAAAAGAGAGUGAAAAAGUACGUGAAAUUGUUGAAAGGGAAGGGCAUUUGAUCAGACAUGGUGUUUUGUGCCCUCUGCUCCUUGUGGGUAGGGGAAUCUCGCAUUUCACUGGGCCAGCAUCAGUUUUGGUGGCAGGAUAAAUCCAUAGGAAUGUAGCUUGCCUCGGUAAGUAUUAUAGCCUGUGGGAAUACUGCCAGCUGGGACUGAGGACUGCGACGUAAGUCAAGGAUGCUGGCAUAAUGGUUAUAUGCCGCCCGUCUUGAAAACCCGACACACA